AAGCUCGUAGUUGAACCUUGGGCCUGGCUGGCCGGUCCGCCUCACCGCGUGCACUGGUUCGGCCGGGCCUUUCCCUCUGGGGAACCUCAUGCCCUUCACUGGGUGUGAUGGGGAACCAGGACUUUUACUGUGAAAAAAUUAGAGUGUUCAAAGCAGGCCUAUGCUCGAAUACAUUAGCAUGGAAUAAUAGAAUAGGACGUGUGGUUCUAUUUUGUUGGCUUCUAGGACCGCCGUAAUGAUUAAUAGGGACAGUCGGGGGCAUUAGUAUUCAAUUGUCAGAGGUGAAAUUCUUGGAUUUAUUGAAGACGAACUACUGCGAAAGCAUUCGCCAAGGAUGUUUUCAUUAAUCAGUGAACGAAAGUUAGGGGAUCGAAGACGAUCAGAUACCGUCGUAGUCUUAACCAUAAACUAUGCCGACUAGGGAUCGGACGGUGGUUUUUUUAUGCCCCGUUCG
RNAcentral lists this ribosomal RNA (454 nucleotides) under uncultured Ascomycota. Its description in RNAcentral is "SSU rRNA". It matches the Rfam family "Eukaryotic small subunit ribosomal RNA", at positions 624 to 1082 of the family's 1831-position model. Lineage: Eukaryota; Fungi; Ascomycota. The record is from RNAcentral.